Molecule: ribosomal RNA, 718 nt
Filed under: Streptomyces sp. Sp080513SC-01
Lineage: Bacteria; Bacillati; Actinomycetota; Actinomycetes; Kitasatosporales; Streptomycetaceae
Description: bacterial SSU rRNA
Rfam family: Bacterial small subunit ribosomal RNA
Source: RNAcentral
UGGCGGCGUGCUUAACACAUGCAAGUCGAACGAUGAACCGCUUUCGGGCGGGGAUUAGUGGCGAACGGGUGAGUAACACGUGGGCAAUCUGCCCUGCACUCUGGGACAAGCCCUGGAAACGGGGUCUAAUACCGGAUAUGACUGUCCAUCGCAUGGUGGAUGGUGUAAAGCUCCGGCGGUGCAGGAUGAGCCCGCGGCCUAUCAGCUUGUUGGUGAGGUAGUGGCUCACCAAGGCGACGACGGGUAGCCGGCCUGAGAGGGCGACCGGCCACACUGGGACUGAGACACGGCCCAGACUCCUACGGGAGGCAGCAGUGGGGAAUAUUGCACAAUGGGCGAAAGCCUGAUGCAGCGACGCCGCGUGAGGGAUGACGGCCUUCGGGUUGUAAACCUCUUUCAGCAGGGAAGAAGCGAAAGUGACGGUACCUGCAGAAGAAGCGCCGGCUAACUACGUGCCAGCAGCCGCGGUAAUACGUAGGGCGCAAGCGUUGUCCGGAAUUAUUGGGCGUAAAGAGCUCGUAGGCGGCUUGUCACGUCGGUUGUGAAAGCCCGGGGCUUAACCCCGGGUCUGCAGUCGAUACGGGCAGGCUAGAGUUCGGUAGGGGAGAUCGGAAUUCCUGGUGUAGCGGUGAAAUGCGCAGAUAUCAGGAGGAACACCGGUGGCGAAGGCGGAUCUCUGGGCCGAUACUGACGCUGAGGAGCGAAAGCGUGGGGAGCG